GUUUUUUUGUUUUUUGUUUUUUUUUUUUUAUGCUACCCUGUCCUUGUGCAGCUAUGAAAGAAAUUAGGCUGACAAAUUCAUAGUUUUGUGUGUGUGUGUGUGUGUGUGUGUGUGUGUGUGUGUGUGUGUGUGUGUGUAUGUGUGUGUGUGUGUGUGUGUGUGUGACCAAUGAAAGCCUUUGGCUAAAGGUUUGGCUGGAGUCGGUGCCAAGAUAGGCUUUGCCUCUGCAAGCAGUUCAUUAUUUCUUAAUUGCCCAUUUGCAUGCAAUUCUCUAGCCCAGAGGCAGCAGUAAGCAUCCCUUGUACGAUACCCCCAUAGACUCUCAGGCACUCUCGUUUGCUGAGUGCCCACUGCGCUCAUCACCCAGCUGAGAUGCCUUGCAUAUGCUGCAGAGUUUACCUUUGCCAUAGCUCUGGGAGGUAGGCAUUACUGUCUCUGUUUUCUAAGAGGAGAAGACAUAUUCUAAGAGGCUUUAAAUGGAGGAUUUACGACCUCAUCUGUCUGACACCAGAGCCCAUAACUUCUCUUCACCAAUUUUAAAGAACCAUUUGCAGAAGAACUGAGAAUUUUGAACGGAGCAGGCGGUUGAGAAAGGUAAAUUAGAGACUCUAGAUGAGUUAAGGUUGCACGUUCGCCUGAUGGUCAAUUGAAAAGUAGAUCCGAGCAUAAGGAACCCUAGUUGGAUGUCGCUUUCUUUUCUGCCAUUUACUUUAAGGGCAGUUCUUUCAUCCAGUACUAGAUAUGACUGGCCCGUCCUUAAGAGAUGACACGAGUCAAGAGGCAGUGCGUUCGUUUACCUAGUGAUCGCCUCUGAGACUGCCGUAACUGGGAGUGUGUGUCUUGUAAGCAACGAUGACGUGGAUCAAUCAAUCCUGUACAACCAGCCCAUCACACUUUCACUGACCUUCUAUUUAUAAUUGAGUUUCAUUGAAAGAUCGAGUUUCUGUUUGGACAAUUUUUGUGAGGUAAAGGUGAAUUUAUUAUACUUCCAUACUAUUAAGUCUCUAUAUUUGUUAAAGAAAUAAACUGCAGUUCUUAGGCAGUUUGUGUUCUGUGUGUGUGUGUGUGUGUGUGUGUGUGUGUGUGUGUGAAUGCAUGGUACUUAUCUCAACUGUAUUUGGUAUUUCUAAAUUCCCCCUCAACAUUAGCCAGCAUCUCAAACUUUUUCUUUCCCAUUAGGGGAGGGUGGUUUUCUGUUUUGUAUUGUUUUUGAGUUCUAGAAGCUAAAAUGUAUAGUGUGCUUUUUUUUUUAAUGCAUUAACAAUCUUCUACAGAAUUUGAAGAAACUAAACAUAGCGGGAAGCUCAAGAUAAAACACCUAAGAAACUUCCUUUACAGAAAGUGUUUAUAGAGGUUUUAAAAAAGAUUUAUUUUUUGUGUAUGAAUAUUUUACUGGCAUGUAACUAGAUUUACAACGUGAGUGACCGCUGCCCACAGAGAUCAGAAGAAAGGGUCACAUCCUUGGUACUUGAACGAUGAUUGGUUACAAGCCACAGUGCGGGUGCUAGAAACUGAAUUCUGGUGCUCUGGAAGAGCACAAUUACUCCUAAGUUUUGAUCCCUAUCUCUAGGUCAGGACAACUUGAAAGAGUCAGCUCUGCCCUUCUACCAUAUAGGCAAAGGCAGGUGUCAUUAUCCAAGGAGCCAUCUUGCCAGCCCAGGACAAAAUACAUGAGUCAGUUCUCUCACUCUACCAUGUGAGCAGGACGUUGUACAGCGAGCCUCCUUGUAGCCAUUAUAAAAGUUUUAACACUCAAGUCAGAUGCCUUCACAUUUUGGAAACAGUGGAAAUAAUACCUUAGCAUGACCUGAAAAGCAAUCACUACAUACUUGUGAUCAUAAACCUUCCACACUCUAAGGAGUAGAGAAAGCCUGGGACAGGCUCAUUGCUUAAGUGGCAGAAGCUCAGAAUUAUAUCUGGAAGAUGGGUGAGAAGAUCCACUUACCAAGUUCCCCAGCUAGGGUGAUGAAAAUGUUCCCUUUGUUACUUGGAGGCAUCAUCACAUCUCUUAGUAAGGAGUUGUGUGCACAAUGAGCUUGCCACACAAUAGACCAAUCUGUUUUGCCCUUCUGGCAAAGGUCACACAUUUUAAACAAAGGAAACAAGACUCAGGGAAGAAGGCUCUCUAGACUUCCUCUUUGGGCUUUACUCUGAAAUGUCCCCAGCAUGCUCCUGUCUUGUGUUCUCUUUUCACAACUGGUGUACUGUUUUGGGGGACCGUGGGACCUUUAGGAGGUGGCUAUGAACUAGCACAAGUAACACUCCAGAAGAAGGCAUCUGAAUACUGUACCUGCCCCGAAUGCACCUAACAGUCUCUGCUUCUCAUCCAAGAUGACAUGUUCUCUGGCACAGACACAGUCAGCUUGCCUGCCAUGUCAGGAUCCUUUGAAAUCUGCCUGAAACCUGGGCCAAAGUUCAUUACUCUAACCUAUUUCUGGAGAAAACCCUGAGGCGUAAACGUGUCAACAAGACUUCAUCCAGAAGUGAAAGGCUGCUACACUGAAAGAAACAAACUAGAGGAGACGCAGGGGCCUGGAAAGAUUCCCCACGCCCACGGGACAACUCAUAAGUCUUAAAUGUUCACACUAACAAAGUGAUACAGAUUCAGUGACAACCCCAGCGAGCCACCCAAGAUGCUCUUCUGAGAAGUAGGACACACAUUCCUGAAACACAGAGAGCAGAGCCCAAGCAACAGAGCAAAACUGAACAAGCUCAGUGCUGGAGGUGUCAGAAUUACCACUUUCAAAACACAGACAGAGACACAAUAGCCACAUCAUCAUAACGUUGGAGUAAAAGCAGUCACAGAGACCAAUGGAACAGAGUAAAGAUCCUACAAAUAAAGUAGUCCCCAACCAAUUCUCAACGAAAGUGCUAGAAUGCAUGCUAGAAGAGAAGAUGCCCCGAGCUGGACAUCCACAGGAGAAGGCUGAACUUUGAUUGCGGUUGCUCACACUAUAUAGAAAUCAAUUCAAGUAGACCACGAGCUGAAACUAUCAGAAAGAAACACGGGGCACAGGCAAGGAUUUUCUGAACGGGAGUCCCUCAAAUCAGGCAAACAAAAGCACUGAGUAACUAAUGGAACUACAUUAAACUGAAAAGUGGAGGAAUCUGUCAGCAAAGAGAGGAGGUGGCCCACAGCACCCCUCUAACAGAAAGGUAGUAUCCAGAGCGUAGAAAGGAUUCAAAAAGACAAAGAACAGUGACAACGAAUCCCAUUUAAACGUGGACAGAAGACCUGGGCCAUUGGCCACUCGAGGAAAACAGAUCAGAACCAUCCUGAACUGUGCUCUCAUCUGGCUAGAAUACCUGCUGUCCCACGAGCACUCCUAAAGUGCUGGGAAAGGUGUCAAGAAUGCUCAGCUUCAUGGGUGACAACACAGGCGUGUACAGCAGAGUGUCCUUGACACCAGACAUUUGGGAAAGACCUAGGUGGAUGCCCCUCAGCUGAAGAAAUACAAAUGGCAUAAUUAUUAGAAAUGUUCACUGUCAUUAGCCACCUUCAGAACGCAAAUCGGAACCCCAGAGGCUCCCCAAACGUCUGAAGGUAGAGCGGCCACACGAUCCAGAUGUCCUAAGUUUGGAUAUGUUUUUAAAGUAAAUUAUAUCAGUGUACUGA
Long non-coding RNA from Mus musculus (house mouse), 3616 nucleotides. RefSeq annotates it as predicted gene, 41526. Lineage: Eukaryota; Metazoa; Chordata; Mammalia; Rodentia; Muridae. The record is from RefSeq and is a predicted model, not a curated record. The transcript has 2 exons.